CCUCCCAUUACUUCUCUCUCUCUCCUCCGUUCCUGGCAUUUCGAAAUCCCGCAGAACCCUAGCCGCCAACUCUAGCGAAACUGCUUGUACCUUCCCUCAUCUCCAUGAUCGGAAUUCAUCAGGGUGAAACGGCGACUACCACGACGACGGAAUCCCGGUUCAUACCCAUGAAAUUAAUUUUGGGUGGCGGGUCCAGUUCAAUUUACUUUUGAUUUCGACUGUGGGGUAAAAGGUACAAAAAGGUCAAGAAAUCUUCAUGAAGAGGGCGUUAGGGUGGCAAGAAUAGGUUCAACGAGUGCAAGAAUCGAUUCGAGAAUGACUUUGACGAUGAUAUGCCCACUACAUUAACGCAACGACAAGCUUUAAAGAUGUUUAAAGAUGUGCUACAUUAUUAUUUUGUUGUAGAUUAUGAUGUGCGAAAAUUGUAUUUUAAUGUAGAUUAUAAGUUGUUUGAUGUGGGGCAGAAGUUAUAUCCAUUCCCCAAGGGUUUAAUAGUCCAUGGGGCUAGGGUGUAGUACCAACCCAGUAGCACAACGUUCACUAAAGGCAAGGAGUUAGAGCCGUUCUUGUAAGAUUCAAUUAUUUAUUGUUUUGUGUAGUAGUCUC
Salvia hispanica is the source of this 606-nucleotide non-coding RNA. The record is from RefSeq and is a predicted model, not a curated record. Lineage: Eukaryota; Viridiplantae; Streptophyta; Magnoliopsida; Lamiales; Lamiaceae.